RNAcentral lists this ribosomal RNA (497 nucleotides) under uncultured bacterium. RNAcentral's name for it is "partial 16S ribosomal RNA". It matches the Rfam family "Bacterial small subunit ribosomal RNA", at positions 28 to 507 of the family's 1533-position model. The record is from RNAcentral.
GAUGAACGCUGGCGGCGUGCCUAAUACAUGCAAGUCGAGCGAACAGACGAGGGGCUUGCUCCUCUGACGUUAGCGGCGGACGGGUGAGUAACACGUGGAUAACCUACCUAUAAGACUGGGAUAACUUCGGGAAACCGGAGCUAAUACCGGAUAAUAUAUUGAACCGCAUGGUUCAAUAGUGUAAGACGGUUUUGCUGUCACUUAUAGAUGGAUCCGCGCCGCAUUAGCUAGUUGGUAAGGUAACGGCUUACCAAGGCAACGAUGCGUAGCCGACCUGAGAGGGUGAUCGGCCACACUGGAACUGAGACACGGUCCAGACUCCUACGGGAGGCAGCAGUAGGGAAUCUUCCGCAAAGGGCGAAAGCCUGACGGAGCAACGCCGCGUGAGUGAUGAAGGUCUUCGGAUCGUAAAACUCUGUUAUUAGGGAAGAACAAAUGUGUAAGUAACUAUGCACGUCUUGACGGUACCUAAUCAGAAAGCCACGGCUAACUACGUG